ACCUGACUGCUAUCGGAUUGAUACUAAGCCAUGCGAGUCUUUGUAGCAAUACAAGGCAGACGGCUCAGUAACACGUAGUCAAUCUAACCUAUGGACGAGGAUAACCUCGGGAAACUGAGAAUAAUACUCGAUAGAUCAUUAUGCCUGGAACGGUUUAUGGUUCAAAUGAAUUUCGCCAUAGGGUGGGACUGCGGUCUAUCAGCUUGUUGGUGAGGUAAUGGCCCACCAAGGCUAUAACAGAUACGGGCUCUGAGAGGAGAAGCCCGGAGAUGGGUACUGAGACACGGACCCAGGCCCUAUGGGGCGCAGCAGGCGAGAAACCUUUGCAAUGUGCGCAAGCACGACAAGGUUAAUCCGAGUGUUUCCUGCUAAAGGAAUCUUUUGUUAGUUCUAAAACCACUGAUGAAUAAGGGGUGGGCAAGUUCUGGUGUCAGCCGCCGCGGUAAAACCAGCACCUCAAGUGGUCAGGAUGAUUAUUGGGCCUAAAGCAUCCGUAGCCUGUUCUGUAAGUUUCCGGUUAAAUCCAUUAGCUCAACUAAUGGGCCGCCGAAAAUACUGCAGAACUAGGGAGUGGGAGAGGUAGACGGUACUCGGUAGGAAGGGGUAAAAUCCUUUGAU
RNAcentral lists this ribosomal RNA (618 nucleotides) under uncultured archaeon. RNAcentral's name for it is "bacterial SSU rRNA". It matches the Rfam family "Archaeal small subunit ribosomal RNA", at positions 21 to 646 of the family's 1478-position model. The record is from RNAcentral.